RNAcentral lists this long non-coding RNA (9081 nucleotides) under Homo sapiens (human). Its description in RNAcentral is "PREDICTED lncRNA (TCONS_00238002)". The record is from RNAcentral. Lineage: Eukaryota; Metazoa; Chordata; Mammalia; Primates; Hominidae.
CUGGCAGACGGGAGGAGGCAGGGGAGGAGGGGCGCGCGCGCCGGGUGGGGAGCCACGGAGGGCUUCGCCGCUGCCUCCCUCCCUCCCUCCGCAGCUUGACCCGGUAGUGAAGGCAGAGAGAGAGGCAGGCUGGGUCCGCCUGGCAGCCUACGGGAGGAGGCGGGAGCCGGGAAGGAGGGGAGCCUAGGCCCGGCGUGGGGAGGCCGGCAGGAAGGGCCUCGAGCCCAGUGCGGACCUUUCUUCAGCCUCUGUGCGACCGAGCCGCGCGCCAGGCUCCUGUGCGAGGAGGACGCGCUGACUCCCUCCGACCUGGGCUCCGAUGGAGCAGAAAUAGCGGGACCUGGACUUGUGGCGCGCCUGGUGCCACAUCUCGGGCUCUGCGAGCGUCCUGGCGCGGGAUCCUGCCGUUUGCAUCCAAGAGAGGGGAGGACAGGGGCAAAAGGAUGCAGGGAGGCUGCUGAUUUCCACUGAAGAGCUAAUUUCCUGUGAGACAUUAACAGUGAUUUAAGAAAAAGAUUCCUGUAACUGUAAUGUCUUACAAUAACAGAAUGCAGGAGAGCACAUAUCAAUGAAGAAAAGACAAAAUGUACUUAUCCAUGAAGCUGAGGUUAAGAAACCAGUGUCUUCAAGAGCCAGGGACAGCACUGGGUCUGUGCAGAGUUGAGAGAUGGUGAUGACAUGUGGUUUCCAGCAUUCCUCACCCAGUCCAGGGACACUGUGGGUGUGCCCAGCUUAAGUCCAGUAACUGGAAAUACAAGCCCAAGUUCUGGAGAGUUUGAGCUGCAGAGAUAUAUAUGGGAACACUUUGAAUCUUGACUCAUUGGCCAUAACCAGCAGAGUGGAAAAUACAAGAAGAGAAAAAAACAUUGAACUGCGAUUUUAUAACAUCCUUUACUAGGCAGAGAGAAGAGGAAACACCAGGAAAGAAAACUGUAUUACGAUGUGAAAACUUAAUGUUGAGAAAUUCAGGCAUCUUGGGGUUAGUGAGGAGAAGUUUUAGGGGCUUAGAUUCUUCUAAACACAUGUACAGAAAUGCAUAUUUCAUCUGAUAUCAAAUGGCAUUUAUAGUGCUAAUCUUUACCUCAAGACUUCACAUCUUUUGGUGAUUGCAUCUUUUAGGUUUAUAGCAGCUAAGUUUGCAUGAAAACACCAGGGCUGUUUCAUUUCAGUCAAGAAUUAAUGUUCAUUGAUUGUGCUUCUGCAUUUCAUGUAACUAUUGUAGAAUUUGUUUUAGUUUUAUGAGGGAAUAAUUGUUCCAACUUCUAUAUAACUCAGGAAUUUACUCUCAAACAACACUGUCAAUUAGUUACUUAUCUCUCUGGAAAUGAUCUGGGAACAUGGAGAGGAAAGGGAGGAAGGGGCAAAAUCUGACCACUUAAAUCUAAGCAUAUUAGAUCAUUUUAUGCUAGAAAGUCCUGAAUGAUGUGACUUUCGUUCUUGUAAAACACCUCUUUCCAUAGAUUCAUGGCCCAAACAGUAUAUAAAGAGUGGGGAAGGAACUGCAUUUGCAAAUAGUUCAAAUCAUUGCUCCAUCUUAACUACGCAGUUCACAAAGUGUGAAGAAAUGUGAUCAUCUCAAAAAAGAUAAUGGGGAAAAAAUAUGUUUUGUUCUGUGACUUUAAAGUCUUGCAAUAUUUUACAUAAAUGAUAAUGGGUGCUUUAAUAAGAACUCUUGAUACUUUUGUUAUUGUAUUCAAUAUAUGCAUAUAAUACAACAGGAUGAUAUUGUUUUGGAUUUGGAAAUGUAUUCUUUCUUAUGCAAUCUUAUGCAGUCAUACUGCUUGAAUAUCAUUACCUGAAUUUAUCUUUCUUUUUUUUGUUGUUGUUUUACACUCUACUUAUUUGGUGCCUGUCAGUCUUUUGUCGUCAGUUUAUAUUCUACUAAACUCAAAAAGACAAUCUCAUACCUUUUGUAAUUGUAGGCAUUCUUUACUAGAUUUUUAAAUACACUUCAAAAAUUCAAGUACUUUGAUUUCAUGCCAUCAAGUAGCUGAAUCUAUCCCCCCGUCUCUUUUUAAAUUUAAGUGAGUAGUUCAAUUUCUGUCACUUUCUACUUUGUGAAUUCUAAAUCUUUUAAAACCAUCUUGCCAUUUUUCGUGCACUUACCCUUACAGAAAACUCUGUGAAACACUACUUAUCUCUACUUUUAUGUUUUUAACUCCUUUUUUAUAUUACUAUUCCCUCUGCUUUCUAAAUGCACAUAUUAAUUUGUUCUUUUUAUUCUCUGUAGCUCUUCUCAGUGUAUGAAUUCAGUUUCCCAUCAGUCUCCAUACAAUUAAAAAAAAGUUGAGUAUUCUGUUAUUUUAAUAAGAUAUCUAGUGCCCAUAUUCUAAUUCUGCCCCUUAUUUUUAAUAUAAUUUUAUUGUUGAUUUAAAAUGACAACAGUUUCAAUUCCCAGAAAGUGAAAGGAAACAAAGGAAUAAUAUUAUAGGCUUAAUUUUUAUCAGUGAACUUGUAGGUGAAGAAAAGAUUUGGGGAAGGAAAUGAACAUAUUAUAUUGCAAAAUAGUAAGGAACAAUCAGAUGUGUUUUCUAGUCUCUGGAAAAGCAUGUUUCAAGAAAUUCAAUGAAAAGUUCAUCAUGCUUGCUUAGAUUGUUGAGAAGCAAAAACACUGAUGAACAUUUGGAAGCAAUGAGAAUGUAAUUCUAAUCAUACUCUUUUAAUAAUGUUGCAAAACUCUCCAAACACUACUCUGUGUGGAUGUCUUUCAGAAUAUGAUGAAUACUAGUAGUCUUAUUCUGCCCUUUUCUCUCUAUCACAAUAUAUACAUUCUAUAUUGCAUACACAUAUUUUCCAAAUAUUACAUAUAAUUUCAUGUAAUUUAUAGACCUAUUAAGGCCCAACCAUUUUCUUGGAUAGGGGAUUCUUUAGAAGUCCAGCUUAAAUAAAGCCCGUAUAGAAAGUUUUUUUAAAAUUUAUACAUAAUCACCUAAAGUAACCUUAUCUACUGAACUCUUAGUACAUGCUACUGGAACCUUUUAUCAUGUUUCUUCCUGGCUUGCAUUACAACACUGUUGACAUAUCUCAGCCUUACUUCUAGGCUUCUUUGAGAGCAUGACUCAUGUUUGUAUUCCUCACUGAGGUUGAAUGAAUAAGAGAAACUACAGUAGUAGGAAAAAACAGUACAUGUACAUAUCAAUGAAUAUGAAAGGGUCAAAUGGAUCUAUUAUAGUAAGCACAAAAUCAACUGACACCAGCAAAGUAAACCCAAAAUUUUUAAUGGUAUUUUAAUAGAUCAAGAGGAGCAAGCAGAUUUUUGAGACAGUUGUCUCCUACUUUCUCUAUCACAGGGAGUAAUUUUAAAAGAAAAAUGGAGGGUAAGUUUCUUUAAGAGAAAAUUGUAGUUUAAAACAGGUCAUGGGAUAAUUAGAAAUAAUUUAAUUUCUUUAGAGGAUUUUAAUCUUUCAACUGCUUGCAAUUAGAUCCUAAGGCAAUAAAAGAAUAAGGAGAUUUGGAAAACCAUUGUCUGUAAUCUCUGAAGAAAAGUGGACAUUAGGGGAGUCAGUUGAAAAGCAAAGCUAUCACCAUUUUCUAAAGAGGAAAAAGGUGAACCUCACAAACUAUAGACCAAAAAAAUAGGACAUCGAGAGAAAGAAUAUGAAGCUAGCAUAGGUUCACAAAGAAUGAGUCAAAUCAAACAACAUGCAUUUUUUAUUUAUAAAGCAUGACUUGUUCAUUGUCAAUUCAUGUUAGCUUAAUCAUUAGGCAUUAAUGCCAUCACUGCAAUGCAUAUGUCAGCAAUAAAUAAUCAAAGACCAGGCUUCCAUCAUUCUGUUUAAUAUCUUCAAGUAAUGCUUAAGUUUGCAAAUGCUCUUUUAACACAUUCUCCAUAUGCAGCCUGCCCAGCACUGCACACAAUAGACCUGUUACUUCCCCCUCACGAGCACUCCUAAUAUUUCAUGUGCUCAUCCAAUUGACUUCUCCCACUGGUGCCUCAUAUUGAAUUUGUAGAAUCACACCUGCUCCUUUUUCAAAACUCUUCUGAGUUUUUUCUUAAAUAAUUCACUGACCCCAAAGUUGUCAGAUAUUUGAAGACUACUCGCACAAUUUUAAUAUUAUAAAUGUAUAAUGUAAAUGUAAUUAAGAUUUGUAUAAUGUACGAUGUACUUUGGUAAAUAAAAGUAUGCUGUGAAUAAAUACGUAUGAUACAAUUCAAAAUUUUACAUAAAUAUGUGAUAAAAUUUAGCUCAUAUUCUUUUUUUUUUUCUUUGAGACGGAGUCUCACUCUGUUGCACCCAGGCUAGAGUGCAGCAGCAUGAUCUCAGCUCACUGCAACCUCUACCUCCUGGGUUCAAACAAUUCUCCUGCCUCAGCCUCCUGAGUAGCUGGGAUUACAGGUGCCCGCCACCAUGCCCAGCUAAUUUUUUUCUAUUUUUGUUGUUGUUGUUGUUUUUAGUAGAGACGGGGUUUCACCAUGUUGGUCAGGCUGGUCUUGAACUCCUGACCUCAGAUAAUCCACCUGCCUCGGCCUCCCAAAGUUCUGGGAUUACAGACGUGAACCACGGUGCCCGGCCUAGUUCAUGUUCUUUAAGGACAAUUAUGAAUAUUUUUAUGCACUGUUAAUUUUCAUUAAGAUAUUGAUCAAUUAAUAGCUAUAUAUGUUCUAUAAAUUAAUCCUAUCUAGUUUCAAUCUUAAAUUGUUUGCAUAUACCAAUCUAGUUUAUUGUUUGCAUAUAUUUUAUAGUGUAGAGAUUAGGCAUUUUAAUAAAAUUUUAAAAUUUCCAGGACAUACUGUUAAUGACUAUGCUUCCUACUAUAGGCCAUAAUUAAUUUUUUUCUAUUGUCAACAAUAUUUUGGUAGGGAUGAUCAGGAAAUAAGGAAAUGUUUCCUUCAUUUGUUAACAAUAGGUGUUUGGGGAUUUUAAAAUGAAAAUUGAAGAAGUAAAAGACACCAUAUAUUUAGUUUGUUUGAUUUCGUGGCUUCAAGAGUUCAAUAAUUUAUUGAAAUAUUUUACAGACCAAAGAACAACAGAUAUAUUACGUUUAUAAGCCCCCACAUAUUUUAAAGGAUAAUGGUUUAUAUAUGAAAAUUCCCUGAACCUACACUUCAUCAGGAAAAGCUAAAUAAAAGAAGUUUACAUUUCCUAGGACUAAUGGAGAUUUAUUUCCCAGUCCUCUUCUCUGGAGACAAAUGUAGGUCUCUCUUGAAAAGCAGAAAGUUUUGCAUAUGAGGUAUGAUUUAGUGGGCUAGAAACAUCUUUUCCACCCUCCCCAAAAUGUUUCACUAUGUUUUAUCAUACUAUCUGAUAAUUUUGCACUAAAGUUUUCUUUCUGUGUUAAGAAAAUGCAAAUAUCUCUGAAUGGGUCUCUUUGCUUUAGUCAUACUCAUAUGGCUACUACUGAACAAAAUAUGUUCAUUACAGGAUGAAGGGAAUGUUGCCAGCCAGCAAAUCCCUAGAGUUUGCACUACACCAAACGUUGCUUAGCAAUUUCCACGAUUUUCUCAGUCUAAUUUGCAAGAAUCAAGGAGAUGUUUGUGUAUGCUACAUGAAGUUGUAAAAUUGGUAUUUAUUGUAUGUUUCUAUAUCGAAAGCUUUACAAACAAAGGAAAUGGAAAGUUAACAGGUGGAUAUGAUAGUGUGGCACUACUUUAGCUGGAUGGUAAGGGAGAGCUUCUCUUAGGAAGUGUUUUAGGCCAGGACUUGAAUAAUGAACAGUAUCUAGUUGUACAAAAAUCUGGAGGAAAGACUUUUCAGGCCCAGGAGAAAUGAAAAUUCUUUUCAUGCAUACAAGAAUGAAAGUGAAAAUUACCUACUCUAUGUCCUGAAGUGGGAAGUUGGCUUGCCAGAGAGUAGGUAAUUUUCACUUUGAUUCUUUCAUGCCUUCAGUUAUACUACUUCUUAGGUUAGUUCAUAAGGGUUUCCACAAUUUGGUUCCCACUUAAAAUUUAAAACUUCCCUAACCCAUUCCCACCAUAUAUUGUGCUAAUCCAUGCAUAUGUGACUUUGCGUAUGCUGUUUUCAUUGUUUAAUAUUCUUCUCAUGCAUUCGUUCUUUCCUGAUAACGAACUCAUCUUUGAAACUCCCCUUCAAGCAUCCUCUACUUUAGGAGGCCGCUUCUCACUGUCUCCUGCCUACCACCCAUUGAAUUGUUCAAUUUUUAAGCUGCCAUUGUCUUGUGCAGUUGACACAUUUCUUUGCAAUUACUGAUUUACAUGUCUGCUUUUAUCACUGGUGAGGUUCUUUAGGACAGAGACAUUAUUAAUUCAUCUCUGGGCACAUAUGUUCCAACAUAUUAGAAGUACUACAGAGUGCUAUUACUAUGUAGUAUGUAGUAUUAGUAGUAGUUACUCACAAAUCAUUUUUAAAUAAGUGAUUAUAAUAUCUUUUUGUUAUUAUGAUUUAACACAAGAUGGAAUUUAUUUUCAGAAGUUUCCAUGAUAUAUUUGUUCUAUUUAAAAUCCAAUAGCCAUUAGAAUAUUACCAUUAUUUAAUGUAAAACAAUAAAAUAUUAAAUAUGAUCGUUCAUAUUUAAUGCAAACCGAACUCAUGGAAAUAUUGUGUAAAGAUCAAGUAAUUUUUGACAUACAAUUUUAAACUCAACUUUUCAUAUAGCAUACCUUAUGAUAUAUUUUCAGCCUACUUUUAAAUAUGUUGGCAUUGAAAGCCAGUUACUAAUUCGCUGAAUUCAUGAUUUCUUUUUAAGUUAUAGAAGUGGAAUUAUGUUUGAGAUAUUCAUUGCAUUACAUUUACCAGAACUUGAGUUCUUAACAUGGAACCUGAGAGUUUCUCCAAUUCUUAAGUCCCUGGGAGAAAUAGAUUAGCUGGAUGAGGAACUGAGAGGAAAAAUGGUCAGAGAUGUAGCAAGAGUUGGGAAGAAGGAACAAUGAUUUGCUUUCAAGGAGAUUUUUUCAUUGGUCUGUUUUCAGUGACAAACCCACUGCGAUAAUACAUGUAAAGUGAAAACAUUCAGGAAGUUCCCUUAGAAACCUCUUUUCUGGCAGUUCCUAAUUCUACAACAUUGUAUAAGUGAAAUACCAUAGUUACUGUCAUAGUAAAUUGAGCCAAGAGAAACAAGGGAGCAGGAGAAGAAAAGAAUUAAAGAGAGUUUUGUCUUUCAGUCUUCACUCUGUUUCUUCUUGCUUUUACCAGUCAUUCAGGUUUAUAUAAUUUCUUUAGAGAGGCUUCUACUAUGCAGGUCUUCCUUAAAGUCAUUGGUAUUACCUGGCAUGAUAUGUGAGCCUUUAAUAUCAGUCCCUUUAUCUCUUUAUUUUUAAAGUUUAUAUCAGUACAGAGUCCUGGAUUCUUAAUUAAUUUAAUAGGUUAGACUUUAUGCUAAUAUUCUUCAUUUUGAUGCUCAAAUUUUCCAAAAUUUGGCCAGCAGGGUUCCUUAAAGCUGGGUACCUUGCCCUUUCAACAUGUCCCUCUGAUUCUUUAUUUUUAUUUACUUAUUUAUUUAUUUAUUUAUUUAUUUAUUUAUUUAUUUAUUUAGAGACUGAGUCUUGCUCUGUCUCCCAGCCUGGAGUGCAAUGGCACAAUCUUGGCUCACUGCAACCUCUAUCUCCCAGGUUCAAGCAAUUCUCCUCCCUCAGCCUCCCGAGCAACUGGGACUACAGGCAUGUGCAACCAUGCCUGGCUAAUUUUUUUUGUAUUUUUAGUAGAGACAGGCUUUCACCAUGUUGGUCAGGCUGGCCUCGAUCUCCUGACCUCAAAUGAUCCAUCGCCUCGGCCUCCCAAAGUGCUGGGAUUACAGGCGUGAGCUGCCACACCCAGCCGUCCCUCUCAUUCUUUAAGUACUUCCAUGUUUUCUAAGGUACAAGAUGUUCCAUAUUAUUUUGUUAUUUGUCUUCCCCAGCUCUGAAAUCUGCCUUUCCUUCAAGGAGCCUUGGUUCUUUCUAGUGACAAAUUAUAUUUAGAAAGAAGAUCUGGGUAUUUGACUUGUAUAUUGCUAUUAAUUGGCCAUUGUUUCUAGUCUCUUUCAGUAGACAGAGCUAAGAAAUGUAAAAGGAAAUAUUUGAAUGUAUGUAUAUGUGAUAUAUUAAGUACAUUUAAACAUAUUAAAUUCAUGAGUUCAUACUAAUACUUUCAAUAAGCCACAAUUCCCUUUUCAUGUUUUCGAAGGAAAAAUAUCCAUUGUCUAUAUACAGUGGACAUAGAUAGUAAUAAUACUGAUCUUGAAAAGAGCAGUCUUAAAUAGAUCCCAUUAAUAGUUAAAGAUAACAUAUCUUAGAAUUCUAGAUAUUAGAGAGAUUAUCUAGAGCUGUAAUCUAGAUAUUUUAUAGAUCUUUGCUGUGCUGUUUUGAAUUUGUGUUGGAGUAGAACAAUCAGAUGACAAAAGCUCAUCCCACAUGGAAAAAUCAAAGCAUUCAUUACAGAGAGAAUUUUGAAAUAAAUGCAUAUAUAAAAAAUAUAUAUGCAUAUAUAAUGCAUAUGUAUAUGCAUAUAAAAUAUAUAUAUAUAAAAUGAGGGUUAUAAACAAUGAAGGAAAUAGUGAUACUAUCUAUGUGGGAACAAUACUAGUAUCCUCCCUUUGGAUGAAUACAGUAGCUACAGAUGCAAUUCUGGGGACUCUGUUUAGCAAUAGCUUAACUAUUGCUUGGCUACAAGCAUGGAUAACUUGUUCAAAGAUAAUGAGGAGUUGUAAAUAUUUAAAUAAACAGGAUUUGCAACAUAAAAAGCUUUGUGACUAUGUGUCUGAAUUCUUAGAGUUUUCUCCCAGCAAGACCUUGGAUGUGGCAGACUUUUCUGUAAUUGUCCAUCUCGCCCCUAUUUCAUGAAAAGCCAGAGCUUCUCUACUUAGUUUGCUAACCCCAAAUAUAUAAAUUCAAUAGAAGUACUAGCCUGUUUUUACUGGUUUAUUUGCUUUAUCUAAAAAAAACAAGGCAUAGUUUAAAGUCUGUUUUUGAUAGCAUAACAAAACAAAGGUUCUCAUUUUAAUAAUGCAUCACAUAUACACUUGGUAACUAUUGCAUAGUAAUAAUUUAAUAACUUGAGAAAUAUAUUUAUGCAUGUAUGUGUAUAUGUUCAUAUAUAUGUUAUUUUUAAUUCAGAAGUAAAACAAAUAUUGGAAGAGGCCACAGUUAUUAUAAAAAUAAUUUGACCAGUAUUGGACAAUGCAAAUAGCAAUCAUUUAGAAGUUUCU